RNAcentral lists this non-coding RNA (417 nucleotides) under Rhizoclosmatium globosum. Its description in RNAcentral is "Eukaryotic small subunit ribosomal RNA". It matches the Rfam family "Eukaryotic small subunit ribosomal RNA", at positions 606 to 1020 of the family's 1831-position model. Lineage: Eukaryota; Fungi; Chytridiomycota; Chytridiomycetes; Chytridiales; Chytriomycetaceae. The record is from Rfam by way of RNAcentral.
AAAGUUGUUGCAGUUAAAUAGCUCGUAGUUGAAUCUUGGCCUGGUUUGGCGGUCGCGCUCUAGGGCGUGUACUGUCGGCCGGGUCUUUACUUGCGGGGAACGUGCGUGCCUCUCGGGGUGUGUACGGGAACCGUGGCUAUUACUUUGAAAAAAUUAGAGUGUUUAAAGCAGGCGUAAGCUUGUAUACAUUAGCAUGGAAUAAUAGAAUAGGACUUUGUUUUAUUUUGUUGGUUUCUAGGGCCGAAGUAAUGAUUAAUAGGAUAGUUGGGGCAUUAGUAUUUAAUAGUCAGAGGUGAAAUUCUUGGAUUUAUGAAAGACUAACUUCUGCGAAAGCAUUUGCCAAGGAUGUUUUCAUUAAUCAAGAACGAAAGUCAGGGGAUCGAAGAUGACACGAAUCUAGUAGAGAUCCUGUUAUCG